GCUGGGAAGGGAUGGGAGCAAAGAGCACAGUCAGACCUUCCAACGGUCCCCAGACUAACAGGGCUUUUCUCUUUUCCGUAGCCCAGUGUCUUGUCCUGGGAGAAGUCCAAGGAAAGCACUAGGCUCACUCUUUUUUUUUUUUUUUUUGGUUCUUUUUUUCGGAGCUGGGAACCGAACCCAGGGCCUUGCGCUUCCUAGGUAAGCGCUCUACCACUGAGCUAAAUCCCCAGCCCCCACUAGGCUCACUCUUAAUCGACCAGGAAUGGCUGGCCUUACAACCCUUAGGCACAGAGCAAGCAUUAAAUGCUGCUUCUGCCCUGUGUAUUCAGCACAUGGGUUCACAGGGCCCAUGAUGUCACUCUCCAAGUUCUAACUUCAAGACUGAACAUAGAAGUGAAACAGUAGGGGAUGCCCAAAGAAGCCCUAACAUGGCUUUGGCUGCACAGCCCCGGAGUGAUAAGGCAGAAAGAGCAUACAUAGCACACAGACAACUAACUUAGUGCCUCAGCUUUGCCCGUCAGCCUUCAUCCAGGCUCCAAAUCCUUUGAGCCAAUAGGUCUUAGUCAGUUAUCUUAGCAACAUGGCAAAGGUACUGAGAAAGGCAAAGCUACGCCUCCAGUUAGGGCAAAGUAGAAACACAAAACUGUCCUUGAUUUGGGUCCAUGCAAGUGAUGUAUGGCAAAGCAAUCCCAGUACUUGGGAGGCAGAGGCAAAGGCAGGUCAUCCAGGAGUUCAAGGCCAUAGCUCAUUAGUUAAGGGUACUAGCUGUUCUUUCAGAGGACCCCAGUUCAAUUCCCAGAGCCCACAUGAUAGCUCACACCUUUCUAUAACUCCAGUUUCAGAGCUUCUGACAUUCGUACGCAGAUAUACAUGAAGCGAAAACACCAAUAAACAUAAAAUAAAAAUAGAGACCAGUCUAGAAAAAAGAAAAGACUCAACCCCUGCAAAGAGGGGGAAAAGCCAGGCAGUGGUGGGAGACGCCUUUAAUCCCAGCAUGAGACAAGAGGCAGAUGGUACCUGAUUUUUUUUUUCUUUUUUUAGAUUUACUUAUUUGAUUUUCUUUUUUAAAUAUAAAUACACUGUAGUUUCAGACACACCAGAAGAGGGUAUCAGAUCCCAUUACAGAAAGUUGUGAGACACCACGUGGUUGCUGGGAAUUGAACUCAGGACCUCUGGAAGAGCAGUCAGUGCUCUCUUAACCGCUGAGCCAUCUCUCCAGCCCCUGAUAUUUUUUAAGAAAAAUUUUCCCCCACACAAUUUAAGACAGGUAUGACUUUGCUGUUUUUUGCUGGAGUUUAAAAUUAUGCAUAAGAAUAUAAGAUAAACAUGGUGACCUAUACCUUUAAUGUCAGUACUUGGGAAUCAGAGGCAGGUAGAUCUCUUGAGUUUGAGGCCAGCCUGUCUACACUACACAGUGAGUUCUAUGACAGCCAUGUCUACAUAGAGACCCUGCUCAUUAACAAAAACAAAAAACAAAAAACAAAAAAAAACAAAAAAACCAAAAACCUGAGAAUACAGCAAGUGCAGUGGUAAAGCACUUGUCUGAACAAUUCUAAGAUCCAGGUUCAGUUCACAUACAGAGAGACUCCUCAAACCAGGUGUGGACUGCACACAUGCUCCUAACUCUUGCCCAUGGGAAGGCAGAGAAGGAAAAUUGUAACACCAAGUUCAAGGCCUGUAUAGGAAGCUGAGUAAAACCCUGUCCUGUCUCAAAACAAAAAGACAGCGGGGCAGUAGCUCAGAGGCUCAACACUAAAGUCUGAGUUGGUGCCCUGGCUGGGCUAAGCAGACAUCCGUUCUCUUCUCCCGAGGAAAAGGUAAGGCAAUAUAAUGUCAGAGUAGUGGCAGUUGGGAGGAGUAAAUAGGUUUGCAGAUGGACUGAUGUGGGGUUUGAGACAAAAAGGGUAACUAGCAAUUUACUAGAAAAGGAGUAGUAUGACAAGGCCUUGCUAGGUUGCCUUGGCUGCCCAGGAACUUGCUAUGUAGACCAGACCAGUCUCAAACUCACGGUGAUCUGCCUGCCUCCUCCUCUUGAGUGUUAGGGUUAUUCCUUUUGUUUUGAGACAGGAGUUUACUAAGUAGCCCAGGAUGGCGUCCAAACUCAUCCUCUUGCCUCAGCCUCACUAGUGUUCACUCUGCCAACAACUUUUAAUCCACCAAACCAAAUAGAGGUAACACCUAGUUACCAGUAGCGAGGCUAUUAACCAACAGAAGAGAGGGCCAGGCUAUGAUCUCACAGAUGGUAUCUAGAGCUAAGGACCCAGAUGCCAUCUCCUAAAUACAUAUAAACAUUGUCUAUGCUAAACUUGGAAGUGUUAUGACCACGGGCUCAUCACAGGACAAUAAGCUUACAGUCUAACAUAGGAAUGACAGACAGCAAUGUGACGUGCUACCAAUUGUAGGAAUAAAUAAGCAAGGAAUGUGGGAGAUGCCGGCUGUGAUGCUACACAUCUGUAGUCCCCGGAGUUGGGAAGACGAGGGUUUGAGACUCUACAAGGGUCUGCAUAGAUAGAAAUAGAGAGACAGAAUGCAGAGGCCUAAAGUCUGGCUUUAACCUUAAGGCAGCCAAUGGAGGUUGGCAAAGAAGAAACUUCAAUAUAGAAUGUUUGUGGACAAAGUCAGUGCAUCGGACUGCAGAAACAGGUAAAAGGCAGUUGACAGAGUAAAGAUUAAAGAUUGCAGCUUGGGUAUGAGUGGAACAGCAGCCAGAGGAAUGAAGGAGUCAAGAAAGAAGAAAUAACAGCUUUAUGCAGGUUGACAGAAGACCUGGAAGAGGUGAAUGCCAGAGAGGAGAAAAUAAUUGCUUUUGCAAUGGGAGAAGAGCUAACCCCUGCUAGGGUCAGUCCAGCCUUCUGCUGGAGGUACACUAGAACCCAGACACUCAACAGAAAGGGACCUUUGGAACAAUUUCCUCUGAGAUUGAAAAAUUCUAUCCUGCAGAGGAAGCUCCUUAAGUAGGAAGGUAAACAAUUCAAAAUAGUUUCAGGAAGUCACCCAAACUGAUUAAAUUCACUAAGCCUCUCCCUAUGAGUAAACAAUGAAAGCUCAGUUCAAAGACACUUAUGAGGAAAACUGACUGGAAGAAGCAGAAACCAACUGAACUGCAUGUAAGAGGUUUAGCUUAACUGAGGUGCCUCGAAAGGACUUUCUCCAGCCUGUGGAGUGGUCUACAGGCUGUGCAGUGUGCACCAAAUUUCCAUCUUUGUGAGUGACAGGUCACCCAUGCCUUUGAAUCAUUUCUGUUCCUGUAAGUAACCCCUCACCUGUACCCUGGAAAUGGGCGGAGACACACCUUGUUGGUGUUGUUUUAUCAGUCAGGGCAGAGCAGAUGGCAGUCCUUUGUCAUCCUAGCUUGAUACCUGUCUUGGUGGCCAAAGCUGUUUCAUGACUAGGGCACAUUUGGAAAAAAAAAAAAAAAAAAAAAAAGAAAAAGGUAACCCCUCAUCCACAUUCCUGUGAGUAAUGUUAACUCAAUAAAACUCACUGGGUCACACUGGACUUUGGUGGCAUGCAUUCUUUUGGUCUCUUGUCAGUUCCUCAACUGGGGGGAAUGGAUUUGUAUGAAUUGCAUCUCCUCAAGGAAAGUGUUGCCACACAACAGGGCUGUGCAUCAGCUUGUGACUGGGUGUCUGGAAGAAGCCUGACAGGUUACAGCCUGUUGGGCGAGAGACCCUGGCUAAGAAACCUUACCCCACUUAUGUGGCACUAGCAGGAGGUGUGGCCUUGUUGGAGGGAGUGUGUCACUGUACAGGCAGGCCUUGAGAGCUUAUGCGCAAGCCCCACCCAGCACGGAAGAGAGCCUCCCUCCCGGUCGCCUGCAUCCUUCUGGUCAAAAUGUAGAACUCGCCCCCUUAUACACUAUGUCUAGAAUCACCAGGACAUAGAAUAACUGUUUAGCUUUUUGUGGAACCGCUAAACUGCUUUUCCACAGUGGCUGUAUCAUCUUACAUUCUAACCAGAAAUGUAUCUGUUCUUAAAAAAAAAAAAGUACAACUUCCCACCAUGCCUGCUUGGACGCUUCCAUGUUUUCUGUCUUGAUGACAACAGAGUAAACUCUGAACCUGUAAGCCAGCCCUAUUAGAUGUUGUCCUUUAUUAAGAGUUGCCUUGCCAUGUCUCUUUACAGCAAUAAGACCCAAGGUCCAGCUUCCACCCGAUAGCACUUUAUUUUUGUACUGCUGGAGUUUUUGCUGGACACAGCAGUUUAUGCUUAUAAUCUUAGCUCAAGGGCUGAGGCUGGAGAACUGAGAGAUUAAGGUUAGCCUGGCCUACAGAACAGACUCUGUAAGUCUUGGCUACCCUUGCAAAGGACUCAAGUUCAAUUCCCAGCAUCUACUUGGUGGCUCACAACCAUUUCUAAUUCUGCAGGUGAUUCAAAAUGCUCACCUGGAGUCAGCAGGUCCCAGGCAAGCAUGAUAUGCAGACUUAUAUGCAGACAAAACAACCAAACACAUUGGGAUUUUAUACACAUGCUAAACAAUCAUCCCACGCUAGUAUCUUCCUUUUCUGGUUUUUAUUUAUUUUUAUGUAUUUAUUUUACUUUAAACUUUUUUGGUUCUUUGUGAGUUUCAUGUGAUGCACCCCAGUCCCACUUAUCUCCUCGGCCCCUCAUAUUUGCCCCUCUGCCCUUGUAACCUUCUUCCUAAACACACACACACACACACACACACACACACACACACACACACACACACCCAUAGAAAACACCUCAUCAUGGAAGCUGUAGUGUGUCACAGUGUGCCCUGAAGUACACCUGUGUCCACACACUAUCACACAUGUUCAGGGUUGUUUUUUUAAAAUCAUUGUUGUUCUAUUAGAUGAGCUAGGGAUAAAGCAAGGUAGCAUGAGAUGGUGUGUGAAAGUGUAGGUAAGAGAAACUUUCAGAGUUGGUGUUCUUUUUUUGGUUUUUCUAGACAAGGUUUCUCUGUGUAGUCCUGCCUGUCCUGAACUCACUCUGUAGAUCAGGCUGGCCUCCAACUCAAGAGAUCUGCCUGCCUCUGCCUCCCAAGUGCUGGGAUUAAAGUUGUGCACCACCACCACACCCAGCUUGGUGUUUCUAAUGCGAACCAGGCAUCAAAUUGAUGUCUGGUUUGAACAGCAAGAAUUUUACCCUUAAGCCAACUCUCCAGCCGGGCCUUUCUUUCAAGGUGUGGUCUCCCUACUUUGCCUAGGCUGGCAUGAGGCCCCUGAGCAUAAAGGCAGUGGCUGGGACCACAGAUGUGCGCCAUUACAACGCCUGGCUCACAGUUUAGGUUUCCUGCGCUCUACCCUCAUGAUCGAGACAUUACAGAGAGCUCAGAACUUAGCUAUGGGUCCAGAAGCUGGGGACUCCUCAAGUUACUGAUUCUUCUGGGUGCCAAGGGAACAGAAUCAAUGGAUGGAGAAAAGAGCAGGGGAGCAAAGCCUGAUGUGACAGAGAAGAGAACCCUAAAGCCAGAGAAAGCAUGCUGAGAGCCACUGAACUGCUGAGCUGCGCCUAAUUCCAAUGGAAGGAGUGACUCCUGAAAGCUGUCUGACCUCCCUUGUACACCAUGACAUGUGCCCUCCCAUAAGUAAAUGAAAGGAAAAACUUUUAGAAAGCUUGAGAAAUAAGGAAAGAAAGCUGUGAGGAUUGAUUACAAGUCUUUGGGACAAACUGGUCCACUUCACUCUUGGCCCCUUGAAGAGGUCUCCUCCUGAGUGGGCUGCUCCAACUCUCACUUCCCACCUGCAGAGGCUGGACUAAGCCCACUUCUUUUAGUUCUCACUAAAGACAAACCCUACCCAGGGAUCUUGGAAAUGUCACACCACUCAAAUGACAAGCGAGAGCAGAAAGCAGUUUCCAGCUCAAGAGCUUUGUGUCAGGCACUGCUGUUGCAGAGUACGUGACCACGCUGUGAGCCCCGAGACUGGCUGGUUAUUGGGAAAGCCUAGGUGCGCUGUGGCUCUUCCCUAGCACACACAUUCAGUCCAAGAGCUUUCUGCUUGUGAUAAACAGGAUUCAAUAAAGUCAACCAUAAGUCAAGAGGCAAGGCAAGCAACCUGUUGACAAGAAGUGAACAUGGGAAAAACAAAAACAAGAGUAAGAGGAAGUCAGGAGGAUAGACAGAGAGAUGCACAGGAAGUAGAAGGGAGGGAUGUUCAGUUGGGAGGGGGCUGAGACAACAUGGAGAAGAACUUUCAUUUUGGGAAUGCUGGUGUUAAAGAAGGGCAGCUGGGUGCUUUCUCUGCCUCUCUCUGAUCUCGCAGGCUCUCACCCCAACAACUGGUUCCCGAAUCUGAACUGGUAAAGUUGAACCUAUUGAGACUUUGUUAUAGACGACAUUUGGCAAUCCAACAUCAGAGAAAUCACACCAUUUGCAGACAAACUAAGAAGCCAUCAGAUUUGGGAAGUCCUCAAGGAGUUAUGGAUGGGAAAAACCAUAAUGCAAGGUGCUAGGGAUACUGUAUAGCAUCACUUUACAUGGCUUAAAAACAGAAGUCAAAAACGAGAAGCCAAAUGGCUUGGCUGAAACUGGCUCAGUACUGAUUAUCAUCUUAGUACUUCAUACUUUAUCCUCCAGGGUCAGAGUGACGUCCUGUACCAUCUCAAAGAAAAACUACAUAAAGGAAAAAGAAAACUAUGGAAAGUGGACUGAUAAGAUACAAGCUUUAGACUUAUAAAUGAAAAUACUUAGGCACAGAGCAAUUAAAAGAUUUAAUGACUGUUGUUAAAAACAACAUUGCUCUGCAUUUAAUCAAGGGAUGGAACAGCUUCAGUAGAUAAAACAAAAAAUUCAGGCAAGACCAGAAAACAAGUAUUUUGGUGAACUGCUAUAUUUAUAGCAGAGACCAAGGCUAACCACACAAAUAAAUGGCAUGAAAUUAAAGGUUUAGUAGACAUAGGAACAGAUGUAACAAUAAUUUCACCAAAAUCACGGCAUCUAGAUUGGCCUCCUCAGGAAGUAAAUAUAUUCAGCUUCUAGACAUUGAAUUUUAUCUCAGUGAAACAACGUGCAGGAUGGGUCAAGUGUAUGCCAGAAGGGACAAACAGGGAAGUUAAAACUAUAUGUGGCGGGGUUGGGGAUUUAGCUCAGUGGUAGAGCGCUUGCCUAGGAAGUGCAAGGCCCUGGGUUCGGUCCCCAGCUCCGGAAAAAAGAACCAAAAAAAAGAAAAAAAAAAAAAAAAAAAGGAUAAUUUUGGUCUGGAGAGAUGGCUCAGUGGUUAAGAGCACUGACUGCCCUUCCAGAGGUCCUGAGUUCAAGUCUCAGUACCCACAUGGUGGCUCACAACCAUCUGUAAUGGGAUCUGAUGCCCUCUUCUGGUGUGUCUGAAGAGUGAUACUGUACUCAGAUACAUAAAAUAAACACAUAAAUAAAUCUUUUUUAAAAAGGACAUUUUUGUUGUUUGGUAUUAAAAACACAGUAAAGGGAUUUAAAAUGUUUUAAGUAAAUUCAAAGGGUUUUUACUACAGUUCAAAUUUGUUUUUUCAAUCUCUAAGAGUUGGAGCGAUUUGGAGCUAGGAUAAAGUAUUUCAUGCCUACAAAGCCAGCAGAGACAAACUGGUUGUUUCUAGUGUUAUAGAGAUGGUGGUAGUGGUGGCACAUGCCUUUAAUCCUACCACCCAGGCACAAAACUCAGAUACAGCUCCUAAUUGGUAUAUUUGCUCAGUAGAGAAAUCAUAUACCAUAUUUACAGAUUAUUAUAAAAACCCUCUAUAGAGUUACCAGAGAGGCAGCUAAUUUCCAAUGGGGCCAGGAACUAAAGAACCAUUUCUGUGACUGCUGGUGAGCUCAUCCCCCUGCAUGCAACCCUGACCAACACUGAAGCAGAUAAUACCCUAAUUAUGGAUAUCAUAUUUAUCAGUGACCUAGCAACCAGGAUUCUUCAUAAAU
This is a non-coding RNA of Rattus norvegicus (Norway rat), 7852 nucleotides long. The record is from RefSeq and is a predicted model, not a curated record. NCBI's taxonomy places the organism in Eukaryota, Metazoa, Chordata, Mammalia, Rodentia, Muridae.